Molecule: ribosomal RNA, 253 nt
Filed under: uncultured bacterium
Lineage: Bacteria
Description: partial 16S ribosomal RNA
Rfam family: Bacterial small subunit ribosomal RNA
Source: RNAcentral
GACGAAGGUGGCGAGCGUUGUUCGGAAUCACUGGGCAUAAAGCGCGCGUAGGCGGUGCCGUAAGUCAGAUGUGAAAUCCCUCGGCCUAACCGAGGAACUGCGUCUGAUACUGCGGUGCUUGAGGAUCAGAGGGGUGCAUGGAAUUUCCGGUGGAGCGGUGAAAUGCGUUGAUAUCGGAAGGAACUCCGGCGGCGAAAGCGAUGCACUGGCUGAUUUCUGACGCUGAGGUGCGAAAGCCAGGGGAGCAAACGGG